CGAACGGGUGAGUAACGCGUGAGGAACCUGCCUCAAAGAGGGGGACAACAGUUGGAAACGACUGCUAAUACCGCAUAAGCCCACGGGUCGGCAUCGACCUGAGGGAAAAGGAGCAAUCCGCUUUGAGAUGGCCUCGCGUCCGAUUAGCUAGUUGGUGAGGUAAUGGCCUACCAAGGCGACGAUCGGUAGCCGGACUGAGAGGUUGAACGGCCACAUUGGGACUGAGACACGGCCCAG
This 237-nucleotide ribosomal RNA is filed under the name uncultured bacterium. Its description in RNAcentral is "partial 16S ribosomal RNA". It matches the Rfam family "Bacterial small subunit ribosomal RNA", at positions 99 to 334 of the family's 1533-position model. The record is from RNAcentral.